AACGAACGCUGGCGGCAUGCCUAACACAUGCAAGUCGAACGAGACCUUCGGGUCUAGUGGCGCACGGGUGCGUAACGCGUGGGAACCUGCCCUUAGGUUCGGAAUAACUCCCCGAAAGGGGUGCUAAUACCGGAUAAUGUCUUCGGACCAAAGAUUUAUCGCCUUUGGAUGGGCCCGCGUUGGAUUAGCUAGUUGGUAGGGUAAAAGCCUACCAAGGCGACGAUCCAUAGCUGGUCUGAGAGGAUGAUCAGCCACACUGGGACUGAGACACGGCCCAGACCCCCGCGGGAGGCAGCAGUGGGGAAUAUUGGAAAAUGGGCGAAAGCCUGAUCCAGCAAUGCCGGGGGAGUGAUGAAGGCCUUAGGGUGGUAAAGCUCUUUUACCCGGGAUGAUAAUGACAGUACCGGGAGAAUAAGCCCCGGCUAACUCCGU
RNAcentral lists this ribosomal RNA (432 nucleotides) under uncultured bacterium. RNAcentral's name for it is "partial 16S ribosomal RNA". It matches the Rfam family "Bacterial small subunit ribosomal RNA", at positions 29 to 506 of the family's 1533-position model. The record is from RNAcentral.